RNAcentral lists this ribosomal RNA (372 nucleotides) under uncultured eukaryote. RNAcentral's name for it is "partial 18S ribosomal RNA". It matches the Rfam family "Eukaryotic small subunit ribosomal RNA", at positions 592 to 976 of the family's 1831-position model. The record is from RNAcentral.
UAAUAGUGUAUAUUAAAGUUGUUGCAGUUAAAAAGCUCGUAGUUGAAUGUUGGUGUCGAACGAGCGGUCAGCUUCGGCUGUACUGCUCUCUCGACUCCUUCCUUCUGUGGACUACGUCGCACUUUACUGUGUGGCGCUAGGACGCAGAUCGUUUACUGUGAAAAAAUUAGAGUGUUCAAAGCAGGCCGUACGCUUGAAUACAUUAGCAUGGAAUAAUAAGAUAGGACUUUGGUGCUAUUUUGUUGGUUGAGCCUAAAGUAAUGAUUAAUAGGGAUAGUUGGGGGCACCUGUAUUGCGUUGUCAGAGGUGAAAUUCUUGGAUUUACGGAAGACGAACUACUGCGAAAGCAUUUACCAAGGAUGUUUUCAUUAA